Molecule: RNA transcript, 3383 nt
Organism: Sebastes umbrosus (honeycomb rockfish)
Lineage: Eukaryota; Metazoa; Chordata; Actinopteri; Perciformes; Sebastidae
Gene: cables2b
Gene name: Cdk5 and Abl enzyme substrate 2b
Exons: 11
Source: RefSeq, a predicted model, not a curated record
GAGCUGCUCGUCCGGAGAGGACACGGAGACAGAGAGGAGACACGGAGACGGAGAGGAGACACGGAGACAGAGAGGAGACACGGAGACAGAGAGGAGACACGGAGACAGAGAGGAGACACGGAGACAGAGAGGAGACACGGAGACGGAGAGGACAGACAGAGACAGAGAGGAGACACAGAGACGGAGAGGACAGACAGAGACCAUGGCCGCGGCGGUGACGGCGGUCAGCGGUAAGAAGCCGUUCUGUCCCCGGGGCUCCGGUCCUCGGAGCCGGGAGCUUUCCCGCCGCAGAGCCGCUGCUCUGCUGUUCCUCAGCAACAUCUCUCUGGACGGAAGACCCGCUGGACCCGCAGAGACACAGAGACCCGAGACCAGCUCAGAGCUACCGGGGACCAACGGAGGCUACGGGACCUUCACCUGCACCGGGAACCAGACCCAGACCCUGUCCCUGGUACCAGCACCGAGGACCGGACCGGGGCUCCUCAGCAUCCCCCCCAUCCUGGUCCUGCCGUCGGACCCGUCCUCCACCGAGCUGCUGCUGGAGGACACAGCCCGCAGAGCCUCGUCUCCUCUACCGGGGACCAGGGCCCUGCUGUCCCCGUCCCCGUCCCCAUCCCGGUCCAGCCUGCUGUCCCCGUCCCCGUCCCGGUCCCCGUCCACCGCCAGCCUGCUGCCGUCCCCGCUGGGACCAAGGAAGUCAUCCACGCUGCUGUCUGUCCAGAGCUGCAACUCGGUGUCCUCAGAGCCGAGACAAAGGACUCGAAACCUGUCUGGUGGAUCACCCAGACCUCGACACACCAAGAAGACCCACUUCAUCAAAAACAUGAAACAGUACGACACCAGAGGCAGCAGGAUCGUGCUGAUCUGUGCUAAGAGGUCUCUGUGUGCUGCCUUCUCUGUUCUGCCCUACGGAGAGAGCUUCUACCUCAGUGACCCGACAUUGAACCACCCCCAGAGGAGACACUCGUCCGGUAACAUCUCCACCACCCUGGAGAUGCUGCCAGGGCUGGAGGGCUUUCAGCUGGACACCUACGGCAGGUCGGUGUCGUACGCCCAGUUCCUGUACCCCACCAACGCCCUGGUGAGACAGAAGCCGUCGUCGACCAGCGACCUGACGCUGCAGGUUCCCGUCUCCAGGAGCACACACAGCGUGGCGGGCCGGAGCUGUCCACCCAGCAGACUGAACAGCGCUGUGGGACUGGACCUGGGUGUUGAAGACGUGACGGACUACGACCCCUCCCUCCUCAGUGACCCCCAGUGGCCUUGUGGGAAACACAAGCGGGUGUUGAUCUUCGCCUCCUACAUGACAACGGUAAUAGAAUACGUCAAACCGUCGGAUCUGAAGAAAGACAUGAACGAGACGUUUAAGGAGAAGUUUCCUCACAUUAAACUGACCCUCAGCAAGAUCCGCAGUCUGAAGAGAGAGAUGAGAGUCGUCGGGGAGGACUGCGGCAUGCAGCCCGUCACCAUCGCCAUGGCGUUCGUCUACUUUGAGAAGUUGGUGCUGCAGGGUCGACUCAAUAAACAGAACAGGAAGUUGGUGUCGGCUGCUUGCAUCCUAUUGGCUGCUAAGAUCAGCAGUGACCUCAAGAAGCAGGAAGUGAAACACCUCAUCGAUAAGUUGGAGGAGCGCUUCAGGAUCAGCAGGAAGGAGCUGAUCUCAUUUGAGUUCACCAUCCUGGUCGCCCUGGAGAUGGCGCUCUACCUGCCGGACAGCAAAGUCCUGCCUCACUACAGGAAGCUGGUGCAGCAGCAGCAGUCGUAGUCCUCCUGAUGCCUGGCUCAGAGGCACUAAGACACUGGCUGUUCCUCCUCUCUGCUCACGAUGCAGACACCAAAGUUGAUCCACACUGUGACGGUAGUAUGACAGCAGUGCCUGGCUCAACGGAACACAGCAGCCCACAGAGCAACACGGCCUUCUGUCCUCCCUCAAACUCCAAAGUGACGACACACUGUGAUCGACGGUUCAGCAGCGGGACCGAUGCCUGGCUCAACAGCACUGAACUUUGGGCUCAUCUGGAGUGUUGGAGCAGGAGGUCAGAGGUCAGAGGUCAGAGGCCUGUACUACGAAGCAGGAUGUGGGGUUAGUGAGGUAACUUCAGGGAUUUCAGUCCUACGACGGCGGGUCACUUCUUACCGGGGUAGAUCACCACGCUUAGCCACGCUUUAAAGAAGCGUACGAUUUAAAGAAGCGUACGUUUUAAAGACGCGUACGCUUUAAAGACGCGGACGGUUUAAAGACGCGGACGGUUUAAAGACGCGGACGGUUUAAAGACGCGGACGGUUUAAAGACGUGUACGCUUUAAAGAAGCGGACGCUUUAAAGACGCGGACGCUUUAAAGACGCGGACGCUUUAAAGACGCGGACGCAUUAAAGACGCGGACGGUUUAGAGACGCGUACGCUUUAAAGAAGCGGACGCAUUAAAGACGCGGACGGUUUAAAGAUGCGGACGCUUUAAAGAAGCGGACGCUUUAAAGACGCGGACGCUUUAAAGACGCGGACGCUUUAAACACGCGGACGCUUUAAACACGCGGACGCUUUAAACACGCGGACGCAUUAAAGACGGCGGUUUGGGUUGAAGUUUUCUCUCCUGCUCCAAUUUGAAGUAGUGAAUAAAAAGCAGAUAUAUAUUAUAUAUUAUAAUAAACUGUUAUCUUUGUGAAAUACAUGAAAAGAAAAAGUACAUUUUGGCAAUAAACAGCUGAAGAGCUGAAGAGCUUCCUUUGUUACUGAAAUAUGAAAUACUAAAGAACUAUGUUAAAUAUGAGACAGCACACGGUUUUCCAAAGUCGUCUUCUCUACAUUAGAGAUUUCUGAUAUUGAUUCUAUGCAGAUUUUAUUUUGACAGCUGACCUUCAUCUUCCUCUUCCUCAGUGUGUUGACCUGUAAUGUGCCUCUUUUAUUUAAACCUCACAUGUUGUGUUUGGUGUAUUGUUUUGUAUUGAAUAAUUAUUAUUUUAUUCUGCUGUAAGGCUGUAAAGGGAAAUAUUAACCGAGUUCCAUUUCUAAUUGUUGUUUUCACAUUUUAAGUUAAACUGAUCAGUUUUUUAUGGACAACGGGGACGAGCCAAGUAGAGGCAUCAUAUGAAGUUCAUUUGUGGGAAUAUUAUUUAUGUAUAAACAGAGUUUAGGGCCGUUAACUUGUGACCAGAGUAGUUGAUUUAUAUAUUUUGUACCGUGUUAGCAGAGUCUUAUACUGACUACACUGUCAACAGCUGCUGUUACUGUGGAGUCCGUCACACUACAGGACACAAAACUGGAGGAGAUUAAUGGAUGGAGAUAUUUAUAAAACUAUUUUGUAAAAGAUAAAGACCAUAUACUGUUUUAACUGCCAAUGUUCGAUUCAUGUCAAGUUUAUUUUCAUUAAAAAUAUGUAAAUGAC